UGGCUUGGUUCCACCGGAGU
Molecule: non-coding RNA, 20 nt
Filed under: Arabidopsis thaliana (thale cress)
Lineage: Eukaryota; Viridiplantae; Streptophyta; Magnoliopsida; Brassicales; Brassicaceae
Source: RNAcentral